GGUCAGCUGACACAUCCCGGCCAAUCUCCAGCAGACCCUCCCUCCCACCUCCUGGACAUCAUCCAUGUUGAAGCUGCCUUCAACAUGGAUGCUGUCCAGGAUCUGGGAAGGUCUGGGAGGGAGGGUCUGCUGAAGAUUGGCCGGGAUGUGUCAGCUGA
RNAcentral lists this microRNA precursor (158 nucleotides) under Pelobates cultripes (western spadefoot toad). The record is from RNAcentral. Lineage: Eukaryota; Metazoa; Chordata; Amphibia; Anura; Pelobatidae.